AUUGAACGCUGGCGGCAGGCCUAACACAUGCAAGUCGAGCGGAUGAAGGGAGCUUGCUCCUGGAUUCAGCGGCGGACGGGUGAGUAAUGCCUAGGAAUCUGCCUGGUAGUGGGGGAUAACGUCCGGAAACGGGCGCUAAUACCGCAUACGUCCUGAGGGGGAAAGUGGGGGAUCUUCGGACCUCACGCUAUCAGAUGAGCCUCGGUCGGAUUAGCUAGUUGGUGGGGUAAAGGCCUACCAAGGCGACGAUCCGUAACUGGUCUGAGAGGAUGAUCAGUCACACUGGAACUGAGACACGGUCCAGACUCCUACGGGAGGCAGCAGUGGGGAAUAUUGGACAAUGGGCGAAAGCCUGAUCCAGCCAUGCCGCGUGUGUGAAGAAGGUCUUCGGAUUGUAAAGCACUUUAAGUUGGGAGGAAGGGCAGUAAGUUAAUACCUUGCUGUUUUGACGUUACCAACAGAAUAAGCACCGGCUAACUUCGUG
RNAcentral lists this ribosomal RNA (484 nucleotides) under uncultured bacterium. RNAcentral describes it as "partial 16S ribosomal RNA". It matches the Rfam family "Bacterial small subunit ribosomal RNA", at positions 30 to 507 of the family's 1533-position model. The record is from RNAcentral.